Molecule: ribosomal RNA, 290 nt
Filed under: uncultured bacterium
Lineage: Bacteria
Description: partial 16S ribosomal RNA
Rfam family: Bacterial small subunit ribosomal RNA
Source: RNAcentral
GACGAACGCUGGCGGCGUGCUUAACACAUGCAAGUCGAGCGGUAAAGGCCCUUUCGGGGGUACACGAGCGGCGAACGGGUGAGUAACACGUGGGUGACCUGCCCUCAGCUCUGGGAUAAGCCUGGGAAACCGGGUCUAAUACUGGAUAUGACUCCAUGACGCAUGUUGUGGGGUGGAAAGCCUUGUGCGGCUGAGGAUGGGCCCGCGGCCUAUCAGCUUGUUGGUGGGGUGANGGCCUACCAAGGCGACGACGGGUAGCCGGCCUGAGAGGGCGACCGGCCACACUGGGA